GAUCCUGGCUCAGGACGAGCGCUGGUGGCGUGCUUAACACAUGCAAGUCGAACGAGAAUCUGUGGAACGAGGAUUCGUCCAAGUGAAGCAGAGGACAGUGGCGGACGGGUGAGUAACGCGUGAGGAACCUGCCUUUCAGAGGGGGACAACAGUUGGAACGACUGCUAAUACCGCAUAACACAUGGGUGUCGCAUGGCACUGAUGUCAAAGAUUUAUCGCUGAAAGA
This 226-nucleotide ribosomal RNA is filed under the name uncultured bacterium. Its description in RNAcentral is "partial 16S ribosomal RNA". It matches the Rfam family "Bacterial small subunit ribosomal RNA", at positions 15 to 225 of the family's 1533-position model. The record is from RNAcentral.